RNAcentral lists this ribosomal RNA (223 nucleotides) under uncultured bacterium. Its description in RNAcentral is "partial 16S ribosomal RNA". It matches the Rfam family "Bacterial small subunit ribosomal RNA", at positions 114 to 334 of the family's 1533-position model. The record is from RNAcentral.
CGCGUGAGGAACCUGCCUCAAAGAGGGGGACAACAGUUGGAAACGGACUGCUAAUACCGCAUAAGCCCACAGCUCGGCAUCGAGCAGAGGGAAAAGGAGUGAUCCGCUUUGAGAUGGCCUCGCGUCCGAUUAGCUAGUUGGUGAGGUAAUGGCCCACCAAGGCGACGAUCGGUAGCCGGACUGAGAGGUUGAACAGCCACAUUGGGACUGAGACACGGCCCAG